This is a long non-coding RNA of Rattus norvegicus (Norway rat), 998 nucleotides long. RefSeq lists it as uncharacterized. The record is from RefSeq and is a predicted model, not a curated record. Lineage: Eukaryota; Metazoa; Chordata; Mammalia; Rodentia; Muridae.
AGAACAAAAGGGUAAAGGAAAGGGAAUACUCUGUGCUCUGGAACUGGAACAGACCCUUUAUGCUGCCCUCAGAUGCUAUACUCCAGAGUCUCUGCCCUUGGAAUUCUGGGACUUCCAUCCUUUUGCUCUCCAGCUUCUCAGGAAUUCUGGGGCCUUUGUAUUUAGAGUGAGGCAUGUUUCCAGCUUCCCCGGUUGUCUGGGUUGUAGAUGGACUAUUGCAGGGCAGCCUCCAUAAUUGCAUGAACCAAUUCCUGUGAUAAAUGCCCUGUCUGCCUAUCUGCCUGCCUGUCUAUAUAGCUUAUCAAGGUGUCAAUCAUAUCGGCUGUUUCUCUGGAGAGACCGGACAAUUAAAAACAGUAAUAAUGGAAGAGUGUUUCAAGUAAUACGAUGUAUAAAUUGAAAUGAAAGACCAAGCAAAGGAAAAUGUGUGAUUAGAAGAAGCAGAAUAGCAACUGGAGAGAUCCUUCAGCAGCUACAAGCACUUGCUGCUCUUCUAGAGGACCCAGGAUAUUGAUACACGAGCCUGUGAAAAGAUCAUUUGACCCCGAGGGAUCCGCCCCGCAGAUUGAGAACCACCAUUUUAGGAGGCCUUUACUGGACUCAAGUCUCCCAGCUACGUGAGUUGUCUGGGCAGAUUCAUCAGAGCAUGUCCAUCUUCCAAAUGUGAUCUUUUUCUGAUGGAGGCCCAAAAGCCCACAGAGAGGGUUCCUGCAUCAUAUCCACAAGCUUCCAGUCACUUGGACAGAAUACCUGAGAUAAUUUACAACUGUGGGGGUCAGUCCUCCCCUUCCACGAAGUUGGUCCCCAGGAUCCAAUUCUGACCAUCAGUCUGACAGCAAGCACCCUUACCACUGAGCCAUCCCACCAGCUCAGUCUACAGUGUUUUCAAGUGCCCUUAGAACCACUACCAAAUCAAACUCUACUAUCCUGGAUUAUAAAGUAAGCCUCGAUUUAUAUUUAAAAUACGUAAUAAAAUAUAUGACCACGCUGCUCAAUAA